This 86-nucleotide small nucleolar RNA is filed under the name Musca domestica (house fly). RNAcentral describes it as "Small nucleolar RNA SNORD116". It matches the Rfam family "Small nucleolar RNA SNORD116". From Rfam's summary of the family: HBII-85 is a member of the C/D class of snoRNAs, which contain the C (UGAUGA) and D (CUGA) box motifs. HBII-85 is encoded in a tandemly repeated array with another C/D snoRNA, HBII-52, in the Prader-Willi syndrome (PWS) region of chromosome 15. The record is from Rfam by way of RNAcentral. Lineage: Eukaryota; Metazoa; Arthropoda; Insecta; Diptera; Muscidae.
GGAUGGAUGAAAUUUUGGAAAAAAAACAUUUUUUGGAACAAAAUACAAAAAAAAUGAAAAUUUAUUAUUUUUCAAAACUGAUGUCC